CGGGUGAGUAAUGCGUGACCAACCUGCCCCAUGCUCCAGAAUAGCUCUUGGAAACGGGUGGUAAUGCUGGAUGCUCCAACUUGACGCAUGUCUUGUUGGGAAAGUGUUUAGUGGCAUGGGAUGGGGUCGCGUCCUAUCAGCUUGUAGGCGGGGUAAUGGCCCACCUAGGCUUCGACGGGUAGCCGGCCUGAGAGGGCGGACGGCCACAUUGGGACUGAGAUACGGCCCAGACUCCUACGGGAGGCANCAGAUA
Molecule: ribosomal RNA, 253 nt
Filed under: uncultured Gardnerella sp.
Lineage: Bacteria; Bacillati; Actinomycetota; Actinomycetes; Bifidobacteriales; Bifidobacteriaceae
Description: partial 16S ribosomal RNA
Rfam family: Bacterial small subunit ribosomal RNA
Source: RNAcentral